RNAcentral lists this long non-coding RNA (406 nucleotides) under Struthio camelus australis. RNAcentral's name for it is "lncRNA (ENSSCUG00000013796.1)". The record is from RNAcentral. Lineage: Eukaryota; Metazoa; Chordata; Aves; Struthioniformes; Struthionidae.
GGGCACCAUAGCAUCUGAAUAGCAGUUGUUUUGACUGGCACGCUGAACUUUCUCUUUGAAAGAUCAUACGCUGCAUCAGCACUUUGACAACAGCUUCCAUCAAUUUGUUUAGCGAUUAGUCUUUCAUUUGGACAAAGAUAAUUUUUUAAACUUAGAGGAGGGCAGUUCCUCUGCAUUGUGGACUGCUGCAGAGGAUGUGGACCGACACAGAGGAACAAUAGCUCUAAGGAGCAGCAGCUGGUGCCCACUGACAAGGGAGCAGGACCGAAAGGCCCAGGCACAGCAGAGCUGCGGGGACCGUGCUGAGUGGGGGCCAGUCAGGCAAAGAACUAGAAACCCACAGCUGUUAGAACAGCAAUCAAAGUGUUUUUGUUCAAGAGAUGUGUGGCCCAAGCUAAAGACGUGA